This 256-nucleotide unclassified non-coding RNA is filed under the name Cladophialophora sp. Its description in RNAcentral is "partial contains 5.8S ribosomal RNA, internal transcribed spacer 2, and large subunit ribosomal RNA". Lineage: Eukaryota; Fungi; Ascomycota; Eurotiomycetes; Chaetothyriales; Herpotrichiellaceae. The record is from RNAcentral.
CGCACAUUGCGCCCUUUGGUAUUCCGAAGGGCAUGCCUGUUCGAGCGUCAUUAUCACCCCUCAAGCCCCGUGCUUGGUGUUGGACGGCGUUGGUCUUAGGCCAACCCUUCCCAAAGACAAUGACGGCGGCCUGUGGGACCCCCGGUACACUGAGCUUUUGACCGAGCACGUAUCGGAUGAGGGUGCCCAGGACACGGUCUUUACCCAAUUUUUCAAGGUUGACCUCGGAUCAGGUAGGAAUACGCGCUGAACUUAA